CUAUUCUCCUCUACUCUUUUCUUUUCUCUUCCUCUCCAUUUCACUCUUUUCCUCUAUUCCUCUUUUUUCAAACCAAACAUGGCCUCAGUUGACAUAGACAUUAAGGAGAGAAGAAAGCUUGUAUUUGUUAAUUAAAAUUUCCUAUUCUUUAUUCAUUUAAUUUUUUUUUAAUUUACAAAUUCUAUCUAUUAAUGAGAUUUUCAUUAAGAAAGAAAUUCAAAUUAACUUUAAUUUCAGCCAGUGGAUUAAUUAUGAUUUAGCUUUGAGAUUUUGUGUAGAAAUUUAUGUUUGGAGGGGCUCCUAAUCCUCUCUCUCUAUGUAUAUAUAUAUUCAACUCUAAAAAUCCACAACAUCAAAGUAUUUUUUUUUUAUCUAAAUCAUUUCGAUAGACGACAAUAAAUAUAUGAAGGAUUUUACUUUCCUUUACGUUGGUUGAAUCAAAAGAUAGUUUUUAAAAAGUGUAAUAUUUUUGUAUUAGGUGACCUUUAACAAUUUGCCAAGAAUCAAUAAUUCUCAUACUCUUUUCACUGAGUUAAUAAUUUUUUAAUUAAAAAAUUCAACCUUUUGUUAUUGAAAUUAGUACUUUAUAUAGAUUCAUCAAAGAAUCACAACUGAGUUAUGCCUAUUUAUCAUUUGCUAUAUUAUAAUUGAAGACAUUAUUUUUUAACUAAAAAUGAGUAACAUUUUCUGAUGUGAAUAAUUUUUUAAAUUUCUGAAAAAUAUUUUUUAUUGUUUCAUGACAUAUAGCAAAAAUUAUCUUAAUAAAUCGCUAAAGCAAAUUUUAAAAAUGAGAAAAGAAAGUAUAUUUACAUAAGAAAUUAUAUGCAUAUUACUCGAAAUAUCAAAUUAAUAUGCGGAAUUAUGGUAACUUAUAUUUAUAGCAUGUUACUCAAAAUAUCAAAAUAAUACUCCAUAUGAUGAUGCUUUAUAUUCCUAUACAAAAUUAAUUUUGUUCUAUUAAUAUUAACAUAGUUUGAUCAGUAAUUAUGAUGUUUGUUAUAUUAAUUAUAAUUGAUUUAGGGUGAAUUUGAUUUUAAAAAGUAUAAAAAUUAUCCUAAUUAAUAUUAACGUUUCCUUAUUUUAAAAAAAUGUUUCCAAUUUAACAUUGUCCAUGUUAAACCGAGGGGGCUUUCCACGAUUUUCUAAUUAAAAUAGCUAUAUUUGGAGUACAGGUAACCAAUUGAUAAUCACCGUUGAUAUUUGCCAUCUUAUCAAUAGUUCACCGCCUAUUUCGGUAGCCAGAUUUAAUUGCAAAAUGUCCCUACCGAUGGAUGGCCUCAUAUGAAAUCCAACGAUCAAUAAAUUUUAAAUAAAAAUUUCAAAUACCGCUGUAUGUGAUACAGGCUCCGUGUCAGACGGACCCAUUUGAAAGAACAUUUAUUCGGAACGGGUGCACUAUCCAUAAACACGUGGGUCCCCGAAUCUCCUCUCUUCUUCUGACGAUCUUCAAGACAAAGACACUGAGACUGGCACUGGCCCGGUGACCCCUCCGCCCUUCUUUUCAAUCUUAUUUUUACACCACAUACUCUUUGAAACCCAUAUUCCACUUUGUUAAUAGAAGGCAUCUAAGGACAAAGAAUGGUUAAAGGUACUGUCUCUCUGUUUGGCCAGCUAAAAUAUCACUUCAUUUUCGAAUUAUUUUCUGUACUCUUCCUUUUCAAGUUAUUUUCUGUAUUUCUUUGAAAAAAAAAAGUUAUUUUCUUUUAAGUUAUUAACCACAUUUUCAUUAAAAAUCCCUUUGGUUCUCGUUCUUAAAUUCUUUUUAAAUUCAUAAGGGAUGCGUUUGGUAUUAAAGUGAUGUAGUUUUUAAGUUAUAACUGUUGUGGAGAAAAAAAUUAUAAUUAUAAAAUAAAAUUUAGUAAUAUAUAGUAAAUAUAAAUUUUAAAUAAUAAUUGUGGUAAAAUUAUUAAAGAUGUAAUAUAUUUUUCAUUGUACAAGUGAAAAAUCAUAUCAACAUACCUUUCAAACUGCAGCAGCUAGUGUUUACCAAACACUUUAGUACUGUAACUUUUAAGCUAUAGUUGUCCAACCUCAAUCCCAAACGCACCCAAGAUUCAUUGUCACAUGCUAGAAAUAACUUAUGGAUGAGUAGUUUUUUAGUAAUUAUAUUAAUUGAUCAGAGUUAGUAUGUGAUUUUUUUGGGAGAAGUAUAGAUUAAAAAAUUAAUUAAAACCCUGCAAACUCCAUAUACCUCUUAAAACAAAUAAAAUAAAAUAAAUAAAUUGACGGUCACAUAAAUCAACUAUUAUAUGUGAUUACUAGGUGCUCGAACGUAAGAUUUAGACAUGAUUUGAAUAGAAAACCUAAAUUUUUUAAUUACAAUAAAUUUUCUAUGUGAUAUUCUCUAUAGUAAUAAUCUUUUUAUAGUAAUAAAAAUUUCUAGUCCCAAUAUAUGA
Molecule: long non-coding RNA, 2396 nt
Filed under: Citrus x clementina
Lineage: Eukaryota; Viridiplantae; Streptophyta; Magnoliopsida; Sapindales; Rutaceae
Description: Citrus clementina (C. clementina) long non-coding RNA (CCLE_LNC001793)
Source: RNAcentral